GGAGCUGUUUGCGCGUUUCUGGUUUUGGGAAUUGGGUUAUGCCGCGUAGUUUUUGGGGAUUUGGUCUAACUUGUCCGGGGCUCACGGUAAAACCUAGGAAUUCCAUUUCUGGUGCGGAAAUGGACACGUCAUCGAUGUAGAUCGUUACUCCCUCUUCCAAUAAAUCGCCAAGGGCGUUCGUCAGUCCCGCCUGCAUUGUACACGGCCCACCUGAUAGACCAAAAGGCAUUCUCUCAUGUUCGUAUUUUUUAUAUCCCACCGAAUAUGCCGUGUAAUGCUUGUGCUCUUCGUUCAUUGGGAUUUGGUGAAAGGCACUCUUUAUGUCCAAAAUGUAUUUUCUUGGAAGUUUCCGGCAAUCUGAACUGUUUCACGUUUAUCACUCCAGUUCCGGGCUUGAGAUGUAUGCUGUGGACCGCUAUCUCUGACUUUGCCAGUUUAUCUCCCUCCAGGUUAUGAAGUAUGAUUUCGGCUCUUGAUGUCUCCGGUGGAAUCUGCAUGAGAAGCGCGGCGAUACUUUUUAAACCGGGGCGACGAUAAAGAAAAAAAAAAAUUUUAAAAAAAAUAUUCUACACUUUGUGUUUCGAUGUCCGAGGG
This is a long non-coding RNA of Contarinia nasturtii (swede midge), 594 nucleotides long. RefSeq lists it as uncharacterized. The record is from RefSeq and is a predicted model, not a curated record. The transcript is spliced from 5 exons. Lineage: Eukaryota; Metazoa; Arthropoda; Insecta; Diptera; Cecidomyiidae.